AGAUUCAAAAGCAUCCAGAGAAGAGAGGUAUAAUAGGGUUUUCCUCUCUUUAUCAAUUUCUGCUAGGGUUUUCAAUCCCUGUCUUUCUCUCUUCCUCUUUUCCUUCUGUAAAUCUCAAUAUCUCUUUAUCUCUUCCUCUUUCCAACCUGCGACUGCCGCCGCGCUACCUGCCGCCCCCGCGCAAGAUGCCGCCGCCGCCGCGCAAGACGGCUGACAGACAUUCUCAAGGAUGACAGCAAAGUGACAGAGCAACAUUCUAUGUCAAAUUCAGAAGGUGGUGGAAGGGUGUAAAUAUAUUUCAGAAGGCCUAUGUUUUGAUUCCAGUACACGAGGAUCUUUAUUGGAGCUUGAUCAUUAUUUGUAUUCCGGAUAAAGGUGAUGAAUCAGGGCCAAUCAAACUUCAUUUGGAUUCUUUGAGUCUUCACUCUAGCAGAUCACUAUUUGAUAACAUCAAAAGGCUCUGUAUGAAGCUCUAAUGAGGCAAGAAGAACUGCCAACUUACAUUGACAACCAAGAAGAAGCUAGGCUAAGGCAGAAGAAGAAGUUCUGCUAGUGAGUGUUGUUGCUGAAAGAGGAUCUGCACGACCAAGUUUUUCAUACCAUGGUGUUUCUGAGGAUUGCUGAAUGAUGAUCCCUUGCACACGAAUGAUAGCGGAGUUUGGGUGACCGGUUGGAUGAGAGAAUGUACUUUACAAAAUGACUUCAACAUUCAGAUUAACGACUCCACACGAAUGAGACUUGCCGUGGAUCUGAUUUUAGAGGAGUACAACGAUUUAUGUCUCGUAAUACAAGAAAAUGCUUGGCAAUAUAGGACCAAGGUGGAAGCAGAGCAUGAAGACAUUUGGGAAUGAGAAAUUAUCUUUUUAGAUAUUUUUAAUAUUUUCUUUGAAAGACAAAGUACUAAGCUAUGUAUCAUUUGUUUUUACACUAAUUUAUCCUUCUUCAUAUUACAAUUCUAUAUUACUAAUUUCCUUUACUUUA
Non-coding RNA from Arachis ipaensis, 981 nucleotides. The record is from RefSeq and is a predicted model, not a curated record. Lineage: Eukaryota; Viridiplantae; Streptophyta; Magnoliopsida; Fabales; Fabaceae.